AUCAUGAUCAUCUACCCGGACCUCAUCAGCCACGAUGAGCUGUUCUCCGACAUCCACAAGAUCCCGGAGAUCGCCGGCGGGCUGUGCCUGGAGGUGGAGGUCAGUAGGACAGAGGCUAACAUUGAUGACUCGCUCAUUGGUGGAAAUGCCUCCGCCGAAGGCCCCGAGGGCGAAGUACCAAACGCACAGUAGUCACUGGUGUGGACUUCGUCAUGAACCAUCACUUGCAGGAGACCAGUUUCACAAAGGAAGCCUACCAAAAGCACAUCAAAGAUUACAUGAAAUCACUUAAAGGCAAACUUAAAGAACAGAAAUCUGGAAGAGUAAAGCCUUUUAUGACAGGAGCUGCAGAGCAAAUCAAGCACAUCCUUGCUAAUUUCAAUAACUACCAGGUUUUUAUUGGUGAAAACAUGAAUCCAGAUGGCAUGGUUGCUCUCCUGGACUACCAUGAGGAUGGUGUGACCCCAUUUAUGAUUUUCUUUAAGGAUGUUUUAGAAAUGAAAAAACGUUAACAAAUUGGGCAAUUAUUUUGGAUCUAUCACCUGUUACCAUAACUGGCUGCUGCUUGUCAUCCACACAACACCAGGACUUAAGACAAAUGGGACUGGUGUCAUCUGGAACUCUUCAUUUCUUUUGACCAUGGUUUAUUUGGAGUGGAGACAUUGUUUUUUAAG
RNA transcript from Dipodomys ordii (Ord's kangaroo rat), 674 nucleotides. It is a transcript of the gene named translationally-controlled tumor protein pseudogene, with no coding region annotated. The record is from RefSeq and is a predicted model, not a curated record. Lineage: Eukaryota; Metazoa; Chordata; Mammalia; Rodentia; Heteromyidae. The transcript has a single exon.